ACGCUGGCGGCAAGCCUAACACAUGCAAGUCGAGCGGUAGAGAGAAGCUUGCUUCUCUUGAGAGCGGCGGACGGGUGAGUAAUGCCUAGGAAUCUGCCUGGUAGUGGGGGAUAACGUUCGGAAACGGACGCUAAUACCGCAUACGUCCUACGGGAGAAAGCAGGGGACCUUCGGGCCUUGCGCUAUCAGAUGAGCCUAGGUCGGAUUAGCUAGUUGGUGAGGUAAUGGCUCACCAAGGCGACGAUCCGUAACUGGUCUGAGAGGAUGAUCAGUCACACUGGAACUGAGACACGGUCCAGACUCCUACGGGAGGCAGCAGUGGGGAAUAUUGGACAAUGGGCGAAAGCCUGAUCCAGCCAUGCCGCGUGUGUGAAGAAGGUCUUCGGAUUGUAAAGCACUUUAAGUUGGGAGGAAGGGCAGUUACCUAAUACGUGAUUGUUUUGACGUUACCGACAGAAUAAGCACCGGCUAACUCUGUGCCAGCAGCCGCGGUAAUACAGAGGGUGCAAGCGUUAAUCGGAAUUACUGGGCGUAAAGCGCGCGUAGGUGGUUUGUUAAGUUGGAUGUGAAAUCCCCGGGCUCAACCUGGGAACUGCAUUCAAAACUGACUGACUAGAGUGUGGUAGAGGGUGGUGGAAUUUCCUGUGUAGCGGUGAAAUGCGUAGAUAUAGGAAGGAACACCAGUGGCGAAGGCGACCACCUGGACCAACACUGACACUGAGGUGCGAAAGCGUGGGGAGCAAAC
This 745-nucleotide ribosomal RNA is filed under the name uncultured bacterium. Its description in RNAcentral is "bacterial SSU rRNA". It matches the Rfam family "Bacterial small subunit ribosomal RNA", at positions 33 to 773 of the family's 1533-position model. The record is from RNAcentral.